RNAcentral lists this long non-coding RNA (416 nucleotides) under Cricetulus griseus (Chinese hamster). Its description in RNAcentral is "lncRNA (ENSCGRG00000025833.1)". Lineage: Eukaryota; Metazoa; Chordata; Mammalia; Rodentia; Cricetidae. The record is from RNAcentral.
AAUGCUAUUUGCAUUAGGAUAUGCCUGUAUAUGUCACUAUAAUUUCCAUCUCAGUGUUGCGUUGUGGGAAAUUUUACUUACCCCCUGGUCUCAUUAGAAUGAAAGGUGACUUCAAAUGUUGGGGUCAUGUUUGAGCAUCACUCAAGUCAUUACGGAAGGCACCACGUCUCUGCACCAGGGUUGGCCAGCCACCAGGAAAGAGCUCAUCAAAGAGACUUGCGUCCAGGUGGACACAUUGAUGAUCAUCUUCCCAUUCCAGGAUCCUCCAAGGAGAACACGUAAGAUGAGAGCCCUAAAUAUAGUUCUCACCAAUAAAUUCAUCUGAGGUUCUAAGUGAUUUUGAGCAAGUGAUUCACUCUCUUGCCUCAGUUUUCACUUCUGUCCAUUCUGCUGAAUUCUUAUAAGGGUCAUAUAAU